This 316-nucleotide unclassified non-coding RNA is filed under the name air metagenome. Its description in RNAcentral is "partial contains small subunit ribosomal RNA, internal transcribed spacer 1, and 5.8S ribosomal RNA". The stretch from base 1 to 46 matches the Rfam family "Eukaryotic small subunit ribosomal RNA", at positions 1786 to 1831 of the family's 1831-position model. The record is from RNAcentral.
AAGUCGUAACAAGGUUUCCGUAGGUGAACCUGCGGAAGGAUCAUUAUUGAAUAGCUCGUAGUGCUGUGCUGGCCUUUCGGGGGCAUGUGCACGCAUUGCUUCUAUUAUAAUCUCUUUGUGAACCAGUGUAGGCUUGUUUAGCACUCAACCUUGAGCGUAACAGCUCGAGGCUUGGAUAGAAAGGUUGCCUUUAUUGGCUUCCCUUCAAUUAACAAGUCUAUGAUUUUAUAAACCAUUUGUAUGUUUUUGAAUGUUUCUUUACUCGACCUCGGUCAGUAAAACUAUACAACUUUCAGCAACGGAUCUCUUGGCUCUC